Molecule: unclassified non-coding RNA, 967 nt
Filed under: Gigantopelta aegis
Lineage: Eukaryota; Metazoa; Mollusca; Gastropoda; Neomphalida; Peltospiridae
Description: uncharacterized LOC121370296, transcript variant X2
Source: RNAcentral
UAAAAAUAGAUGAGUGAUAGAGACAUGUCUGUACGCUUGUUGGAGCCCACGACAGGCGCUAAAAAUAGCUCGGGUUUCCAUAAGCUCAACAUGAGGAAACUCUCCCUUCAGUGGACUUCGAGGUUAUUUUCUACUAUGCGAUAGGGCCCCACUCACGUGUUAAACAGUUUAGAAUGUAUCGAUGCCCUAUUUGACAACACUGAAUUAGAUGCAACAAGAGAUACAACAGGUUUGGACCUGUCUUCGUACCACAGACCGAGUAACAGCCAAUCUGAACGUUUAUGGUGGUGACGUCACUGGAAAUCCCCAUGCCUAAAACUGUGUAUCAACAAAACAUGUUUGGACUUGUCUCGUUACUUCGCGGAUUUUUAGACGUGUUUCAACUUGUUGCGUUUUAGCAGCCGAUGGGUAUAUAAAGGCUGGAUUUCCCCCAAACAAGUCAUUCAAUCGCCGAAAAAGAAGCAAAAGGUCACGUUCAAUUUUACUCGAGAAAAACAAAAGCCAUCUGAAAUAUUUCGUGCUGAUAUUGGAACAGAACGGGACCAUUAUAUCAUACUUGAUGUGAGGCUAUCUGGUAAAAAUAUGGUUUUCAACAGCUUUGUGUCUAGAGCCUGGGGAAUGGGAUCGGGCACGUAUGUCAAGAUUGACAUUUUCCCAUUUACAGUUGAUGUUCCCUUCGAGCUUAGGAUAGCCUACCUGAACAGCACGUUUACGUUUUCUGAAAGCGGAACAUUCAUUUACAACUUCACAACUCCACAUCCAGUGGAAAUGGCUGAUCGAGUGCUAAUUCGUAAUGAUGUUUUUGUUCAAAAACUAAAAUUGAUAUACUAAACAGUUCACACUUUCCAUCGGUAAAGUGUCAUAACUGUGACAAAUUCAUAACAGGAGGAACGAUUCAAUAUUUUUAGCAAUCAAAAUGACUACAAAAAUGUAUUUGACAUAAGAAAAUUAAAACUUGUUAAAUAUA